ACGAACGCUGGCGGCGUGCUUCACACAUGCAAGUCGAACGGAAAGGCCCUGCUUUUGUGGGGUGCUCGAGUGGCGAACGGGUGAGUAACACGUGAGUAACCUGCCCUUGACUUUGGGAUAACUUCAGGAAACUGGGGCUAAUACCGGAUAGGAGCUCCUGCUGCAUGGUGGGGGUUGGAAAGUUUCGGCGGUUGGGGAUGGACUCGCGGCUUAUCAGCUUGUUGGUGGGGUAGUGGCUUACCAAGGCUUUGACGGGUAGCCGGCCUGAGAGGGUGACCGGCCACAUUGGGACUGAGAUACGGCCCAGACUCCUACGGGAGGCAGCAGUGGGGAAUAUUGCACAAUGGGCGGAAGCCUGAUGCAGCAACGCCGCGUGCGGGGUGACGGCCUUCGGGUUGUAAACCGCUUUCGCCUGUGACGAAGCGUGAGUGACGGUAAUGGGUAAAGAAGCACCGGCUAACUACGUG
This 467-nucleotide ribosomal RNA is filed under the name uncultured bacterium. RNAcentral describes it as "partial 16S ribosomal RNA". It matches the Rfam family "Bacterial small subunit ribosomal RNA", at positions 29 to 507 of the family's 1533-position model. The record is from RNAcentral.